RNAcentral lists this long non-coding RNA (350 nucleotides) under Mytilus galloprovincialis (Mediterranean mussel). The record is from RNAcentral. Lineage: Eukaryota; Metazoa; Mollusca; Bivalvia; Mytilida; Mytilidae.
AUGGUUUUAUACUCUAUCAAUCAAUGUUACAUUCGACUGAUUUGAAUAUUUUUUGUGUGUCAUUUUCGUCAUAUAGCUCAUCAACUCUUUCUAUUCUUUCAUAUCUUUGGAUUUCAAAUACUUGUCGCUGGGCGUAAAUGAUGAAGAUAAAUCAAAAAUAGUGCUCGCUUCGGACGCAUGGAAUUUAUAACUUGUUUUUUUUUCGGCCACUAUUGCAGAUCUUUUUGUUGCUUAUCGGAUUAUCGUGGUCUGACAUCUGUCACGAACUAUUUUUUUUUUCCAGGUGAAUAAAAUUAAAUAAUUGCUGACGCAAUGCACGUGAAGGAUGUAAGGUUAAAUUUGCCUACAAU